Molecule: long non-coding RNA, 751 nt
Organism: Drosophila mauritiana
Lineage: Eukaryota; Metazoa; Arthropoda; Insecta; Diptera; Drosophilidae
Exons: 2
Source: RefSeq, a predicted model, not a curated record
GGAUCAGCUCGGUAUCGGCCUCAGUCCCAGCAUAAAUUGCACUUCGCCUGCACGGAUCGCGCAUGAACAUUCUGCCCAGCAAUCUGGCCAAGUGACCAAGCCGAUUUCGGGAGCAGGGGCCUGGGGCCAGUGUCAUAUGCCCGACACUCGGUGCAGCGAAAUGUAAGGAACGUUCAAAUAAACGCGCAUUUUCCAGAGAAGUAGAAAAACUUCCACCCUCAAAGCGGCACACAGCGCACAAACAUACAGACAGUCGUACAAACACACAGCGAACUAAUACAGACAUGUAAGAAUGCUGCAGUCGUGCAUUUGGUUGGUAAAAUACCCAUCUUAACUGCCGAUUAAGUUAACCAGGAAAGAUUGGAUAAAAACGAGUGCCAUUAGCCCGCUAACGAAGUAUAAAAACUAAAAACCAUCUAAAACACAAGCGAGGAAAAGGGGUGCGAUACCCCCCAACCGAUAUACCCAGCGUGCCCCUGGGCACUGUCACUGUCAUUUGCGUCGCAGCGCUGCCGCCGUCCGCGUCCGCGUCGCUUUGCCUGGCCCAGUGUUUCCGCUUUCUUUCGCCUCGUUGUAAUGUUACUUUUAGUUUGAUGUCGGAGCCUCGACGAGCCGGUCGUAAGCGAAAUCGUAAGCGAGACUUUAGUGCGAUUCCGCUCCGUUCCGCCGGUUGUGUGUGCGUGUUUAGUUCGAGCUGAGGCGAAGCAGAGGCAGAAUCGGAAUCAGAAUCCAGCGGAAUCGAGAAUCAGAA